GAUGAACGCUGGCGGCGUGCCUAAUACAUGCAAGUAGAACGCUGAAGCUUGGUGCUUGCACCGAGCAGAUGAGUUGCGAACGGGUGAGUAACGCGUAGGUAACCUGCCUCUUAGCGGGGGAUAACUAUUGGAAACGAUAGCUAAUACCGCAUAAAAGUCGAUAUCGCAUGAUAUUGAUUUGAAAGGUGCAAUUGCAUCACUAAGAGAUGGACCUGCGUUGUAUUAGCUAGUUGGUGAGGUAACGGCUCACCAAGGCGACGAUACAUAGCCGACCUGAGAGGGUGAUCGGCCACACUGGGACUGAGACACGGCCCAGACUCCUACGGGAGGCAGCAGUAGGGAAUCUUCGGCAAUGGGGGCAACCCUGACCGAGCAACGCCGCGUGAGUGAAGAAGGUUUUCGGAUCGUAAAGCUCUGUUGUAAGAGAAGAACGAGUGUGAGAGUGGAAAGU
Molecule: ribosomal RNA, 451 nt
Filed under: Streptococcus parasanguinis
Lineage: Bacteria; Bacillati; Bacillota; Bacilli; Lactobacillales; Streptococcaceae
Description: bacterial SSU rRNA
Rfam family: Bacterial small subunit ribosomal RNA
Source: RNAcentral